Molecule: ribosomal RNA, 274 nt
Filed under: uncultured bacterium
Lineage: Bacteria
Description: partial 16S ribosomal RNA
Rfam family: Bacterial small subunit ribosomal RNA
Source: RNAcentral
AUACGGAGGGUCCGAGUGUUAUCCGGAAUCAUUGGGUUUAAAGGGUCCGUAGGCGGGAAUCUAAGUCAGUGGUGAAAUCUUGCAGCUCAACUGUAAAAUUGCCAUUGAUACUGGAUUUCUUGAAUUAGUGUGAAGUGAUUAGAAUGUGUAGUGUAGCGGUGAGAUGCAUAGAUAUUACACAGAAUACCAAUUGCGAAGGCAGAUCACUAACACUAUAUUGACGCUGAGGGACGAAAGCGUGGGGAGCGAACAGGAUUAGAUACCCCAGUAGUCC